This 123-nucleotide ribosomal RNA is filed under the name Acorhinotermes subfusciceps. Lineage: Eukaryota; Metazoa; Arthropoda; Insecta; Blattodea; Rhinotermitidae. The record is from RNAcentral.
CUACGACCUUGUCAGGUUGACUACACCGGUUUCCGUAAUCAUUAUCUCGGUUCAUCAUAAUUAAGCGACCUUGGGCGUGGUUAGUACUUGGAUGGGUGACCGCUUUGGACCACCUAGUGCUGU